Molecule: ribosomal RNA, 490 nt
Filed under: uncultured bacterium
Lineage: Bacteria
Description: partial 16S ribosomal RNA
Rfam family: Bacterial small subunit ribosomal RNA
Source: RNAcentral
AUUGAACGCUGGCGGCAGGCCUAACACAUGCAAGUCGAACGGUAACAGGAAGAAGCUUGCUUCUUUGCUGACGAGUGGCGGACGGGUGAGUAAUGUCUGGGAAACUGCCUGAUGGAGGGGGAUAACUACUGGAAACGGUAGCUAAUACCGCAUAAUGUCGCAAGACCAAAGAGGGGGACCUUCGGGCCUCUUGCCAUCGGAUGUGCCCAGAUGGGAUUAGCUAGUAGGUGGGGUAACGGCUCACCUAGGCGACGAUCCCUAGCUGGUCUGAGAGGAUGACCAGCCACACUGGAACUGAGACACGGUCCAGACUCCUACGGGAGGCAGCAGUGGGGAAUAUUGCACAAUGGGCGCAAGCCUGAUGCAGCUAUGCCGCGUCUAUGAAGAAGGCCUUCGGGUUGUAAAGUACUUUCAGCGGGGAGGAAGGGAGUAAAGUUAAUACCUUUGCUCAUUGACGUUACCCGCAGAAGAAGCACCGGCUAACUCCGUG